AUGCUCUAGAGCAUAUUACUAACAUGAUUAAUUGCUUUAGGCUAGGUGGUUUUUCCCCCCUUCUAUUUUAUAUUACUUUGUUGAAGAUGAGCUACAAAAGUCUUUUUUUAUGUGACUGAACCUAAUCACAGUGGCAAGUUGUUUGGCAGGUAAACUUUACCCUUCGUCCCUGAAUUUAGGGUGUUGUAACAACUGAACUUAGAUUUGUAACAUAAAGCCCUUAAACUUAAUUUAGUGA
RNAcentral lists this unclassified non-coding RNA (238 nucleotides) under Hevea brasiliensis (rubber tree). The record is from RNAcentral. Lineage: Eukaryota; Viridiplantae; Streptophyta; Magnoliopsida; Malpighiales; Euphorbiaceae.